CUAAAAGAAGCUGAUUUAUGAAAAUAUUAAAAUUAAGCCUUCACUGCGCUAAGUUGCUUAGAAACAUACAAGUAACUGCCUGCAUAUCAGAAAUAAAUAAAUAGAGAAAGAAGAAACAAAAGGACCAGAAUGGGGAUGUCAAACGCAGAGCGUCAAAGGAAGUUUCGUUCCAGAUGGGAUGAGGAUGAAACAAGAAGAAAGUAUUUGCAGGACUCUAAAGAAAAG
This is a long non-coding RNA of Mya arenaria, 225 nucleotides long. RefSeq lists it as uncharacterized. The record is from RefSeq and is a predicted model, not a curated record. NCBI's taxonomy places the organism in Eukaryota, Metazoa, Mollusca, Bivalvia, Myida, Myidae. The transcript has 3 exons.